CCCUUAGAUGUCCUGGGCCGCACGCGCGCUACACUGAUGCAUUCAACGAGUUUUUCCUUGGCCGAGAGGCCUGGGCAAUCUUUUGAACGUGCAUCGUGAUAGGGAUAGAUUAUUGCAAUUAUUAAUCUUGAACGAGGAAUUCCUAGUAAAUGCAGAUCAUCAAUCUGCAUUGAUUACGUCCCUGCCCUUUGUACACACCGCCCGUCGCACCUACCGAUUGAAUGGUCCGGUGAAGCCUCGGGAUUGUGGCGAGUUCCCUUUAUUGGGAGUUUGUCGCGAGAACUUGUCUAAACCUUAUCAUUUAGAGGAAGGUGAAGUCGUAACA
This 325-nucleotide ribosomal RNA is filed under the name uncultured eukaryote. Its description in RNAcentral is "partial 18S ribosomal RNA". It matches the Rfam family "Eukaryotic small subunit ribosomal RNA", at positions 1470 to 1796 of the family's 1831-position model. The record is from RNAcentral.